Molecule: ribosomal RNA, 280 nt
Filed under: Phimochirus holthuisi
Lineage: Eukaryota; Metazoa; Arthropoda; Malacostraca; Decapoda; Paguridae
Description: partial 12S ribosomal RNA
Source: RNAcentral
UAAACGAUAAACCACGAAUAUCUUACCUGUUUUAUGUUUGUAUACCGUCAUUAUCAGACAAUUUUAAAAGAGUAAAUUGUUGAAAAUAAAAUAGUUAAAAAAAUUAGAUCAAGGUGCAGCUUAUGUUCAGGAGAAAAUGGGUUACAAUAAAAAUAGUUUAAUAUGGAGCUUUUUCUGAAAUUGGAGAAGUGAAGGUGGAUUUAAUUGUAAUUAUGUUUGAUUAAAAAAAUUUGAUAUAGGCUCUAAAAUAUGUACAUAUCGCCCGUCGCUCGCGGGAAAA